Molecule: ribosomal RNA, 443 nt
Filed under: uncultured bacterium
Lineage: Bacteria
Description: bacterial SSU rRNA
Rfam family: Bacterial small subunit ribosomal RNA
Source: RNAcentral
AACGCGAAGAACCUUACCAGCUUUUGACAUGGGACGUAUAAGGGUUAGAGAUGGCUCUUUUCAGUUUGGCUGGCGUUCACACAGGUGCUGCAUGGCUGUCGUCAGCUCGUGUCGUGAGAUGUUGGGUUAAGUCCCGCAACGAGCGCAACCCUUGCCGUUAGUUGCCAUCAGGUUGGGCUGGGCACUUUAACGGGACUGCCGGUGAUAAGCCGGAGGAAGGUGGGGAUGACGUCAAGUCCUCAUGGCCCUUAUAGGCUGGGCUACACACGUACUACAAUGGCGGUGACAAAGGGGAGCGAAGGAGCGAUCUGGAGCGAAUCCUUAAAAGCUGUCUCAGUUCGGAUUGUUCUCUGCAACUCGAGAGCAUGAAGUCGGAAUCGCUAGUAAUCGUAGAUCAGCAUGCUACGGUGAAUACGUUCCCGGGCCUUGUACACACCGGCUAC